This 253-nucleotide ribosomal RNA is filed under the name uncultured bacterium. Its description in RNAcentral is "partial 16S ribosomal RNA". It matches the Rfam family "Bacterial small subunit ribosomal RNA", at positions 524 to 776 of the family's 1533-position model. The record is from RNAcentral.
CACGGGGGGAGCAAGCGUUGUUCGGAAUCACUGGGCGUAAAGGGCGUGUAGGCGGUCAGGCAAGUGAGAUGUGAAAUGCCCCGGCUCACCCGGGGACCGGCAUCUCAUACUGCUUGGCUUGAGUAAGGGAGAGGAUGUGGGAAUUCCUGGUGUAGCGGUGAAAUGCGUAGAUAUCAGGAGGAACACCGGUGGCGAAGGCGGCUUCCUGGACCGACACUGACGCUGAGGCGCGAAAGCUAGGGGAGCAAACGGG